CCUACGGGAGGCAGCAGUGGGGAAUUUUGGACAAUGGGCGCAAGCCUGAUCCAGCAAUGCCGCGUGAGUGAAGAAGGCCUUCGGGUUGUAAAGCUCUUUUGUCAGGGAAGAAACGGUCUACUCUAAUACAGUGGGCUAAUGACGGUACCUGAAGAAUAAGCACCGGCUAACUACGUGCCAGCAGCCGCGGUAAUACGUAGGGUGCAAGCGUUAAUCGGAAUUACUGGGCGUAAAGCGUGCGCAGGCGGUUAUAUAAGUCAGAUGUGAAAUCCCCGGGCUCAACCUGGGAACUGCAUUUGAGACUGUAUGGCUAGAGUGUGUCAGAGGGGGGUAGAAUUCCACGUGUAGCAGUGAAAUGCGUAGAUAUGUGGAGGAAUACCGAUGGCGAAGGCAGCCCCCUGGGAUAACACUGACGCUCAUGCACGAAAGCGUGGGGAGCAAACAGGAUUAGAUACCCUGGUAGUCCACGCCCUAAACGAUGUCUACUAGUUGUCGGGACUUAAUUGUNUUGUACGUCNGCUACGCGUGAGUAGACCGCCGUCGGAGGUACGGUCGCGAGAGUAAACUACGAAGAAGUAGUACGCGUGAGACGUAGCGACGACGACGACGAGGGAGGAGG
Molecule: ribosomal RNA, 619 nt
Filed under: uncultured bacterium
Lineage: Bacteria
Description: bacterial SSU rRNA
Rfam family: Bacterial small subunit ribosomal RNA (bases 1-539)
Source: RNAcentral